Molecule: long non-coding RNA, 207 nt
Filed under: Dermacentor andersoni
Lineage: Eukaryota; Metazoa; Arthropoda; Arachnida; Ixodida; Ixodidae
Description: uncharacterized LOC126538513
Source: RNAcentral
UGGAUCAUUCAGUCAUAUCACACUGCAAGCUGCAUUCAUCAAUCUUCAAUUGGAUUUCGCAUGAAACAUGUUUCCCUUUUAUGCAGAUAUGCAAUGGCAAGCCCUUCCGUGUGUUCCAAAGACAACGUCUACACCUAGCCACAGCAGCUCCCUCAUGCAGACUCCGCAAGCCAAGAGGCCAGGGAGGCAAAUGCAGGCAGCCAGCAC